UAUUUUGGAAGCAUGGUUCCAAGUGAACCACAAGACGUCACGUGGUGUAGUUUCAUAAAAGGUUCUAAUAUACCUUGAGAAUAGUAUUACUUAUUGUGUUCCAGUUUAUAUAUAUAUAUAAAUUUUAAACCCUUAAAUUAUUUAUAUUUUUAAAUUAAGUUAAUUUAUACAAAUAUUCAAAUAUUUAAAGUUUAUCCUUAACUUUUCAAAUUCUUUCAUUUAAUUAAUAAGGUUGUUUUUUUUAGUUUUAAAGUCAAAAUAGAAAAGAAAAUUUUUGUAUUAUGUAAACAACAUAUAGCACAAAAAAAUUUUAUCGUUCUUACAACUUAAAAAUAAAUUAAAAAUUAUAUAUUAAUGUUGCAUAAAAAUUAUAUUACAUAUAAUUAUAAUAUUAAAAAUAAAUGACAUUAAUUUAAUAAAAUUUUAAAAAUAUUGUUAUAACUCCAUGCAAAGCACGGGUCUGUUACUAGUUACCUACUAAUUUCAAGAAUAGAGGAGUUUGAGUUGUACCAAAAACACAAAAGCUGUAUCGUGCCGAUAUCUUGCUGGCACGAUACGGCACGGUGGAUACAGCCCGUACCGAUGGGCACUUUAAUCCUUGGUGCCAGUAUGCCCCAAGUUCCAAUACUUCAAUGCUAGGUCAUGAUAAUGUUUGCUUAUCAUCAAAAUGUUAGAAAAUUGCGUACGGUAAAAACACAGCAGAAAUAAAAUCAAACAAAUUUGAUUUUUGAAACUUGAGAUCCGAUCUCAAAAACCACGCAAUUAGAAUCUCUCAUGUUCUUUAAGAUUAAAAGAGAAAAGGAAGAUCCAAUCUUUACCUUUGCGCGGGUAGAUCUUCACCGCAAUUUGAUGAUAGCAGAAUUCAGUUCUCUUGAAGCCGCACACGCGUCCAACCUCUAUACGUAUCCACACAAGGUUGGUGAUUUGAUCGAUGUCCUCACUGGGGUGCUAACUCCCUUGCAAAGAACGUCUUUCUUGCUAGAGAAAAAAGAGAAGGAAAGAGAGAGGAAGAGAGAUGACGGCUAGAGUUUGCUAAAAACUCUCGUAUAUUAUAUAGAGUAUAAUCCUCUUUUUAAUAAUAUAAUAACCAUUAAGAACAAGUACAAAUCUAGAUUUAAAUUUAUCCUUUCCUUAAUUGGUUAGAUCGAUCAAAUCCUAAUUUGAUUCGACUUGACCUUCAUCCUAAUUUGAUCAUAUCAAAUGAAUAAUGCAAUAUUUGCACAUGUCAUCUCAUAAUUUACAAACUAUUAGUAAGUCCUCUCUUGUAACAUUUACACCUUAAUACCACUAAUUUGUAACAAUUACAAAUUAGUCCAAUUAUCAUUCUAUUGACAAUUAGGUCCUCCGACGAUUCAAUAAUCGCGAUCUAGCUAUUCGAUCAAUCACAAGCUCUUAUGUGUGUGACCCUAUAGGUUCUAUUCUAUCUGGUAGUGAGAUAUAUUUUGAUCACUAUCAAUAAUAUCACUGAAACUCCUUUCAAUGGAUCAGAACAAUUCCAACUCAGCCCAAUGAGAAUUAUUGAUCAUCUAGAUAAUUCUCAUGAGUCUCACAAUCCACCAGUGACGCCUAGCAGCAUGUAGUGGCAUUCCAGUAGAAUGGAAUAAUGAACCUACCGUGUGAUACAAUCCUUCUAUCAUGAGUCCCGACUAGACGGAGGUUAUGGAACAACUCGUCAAACCCCAUCGUCUGUCAUAUGUUAAAUUUAUUCGACUCGAGUUUCUAAUAUCGGAAACCCUUUUCCGCUAUUUAUUCUGCCCUGGCCAAGGUCUUCUAAACUCGGUCUCAUAAAUCACAUAGGACUAACACCCCUAUCUACCAAGGGAGAUAGAUUCCAUCUAAGUGCGCAUCCUAUUCCUACAAUGAACCUACUGCAGCCAACAUACACCGCAAGGACCCGAAUGGCUAGGGACCAAGUGUAUGUACAGUCAAACUACAGUAACCUCAUUGUAAAUAGCCGAGGCACCGCAGGUCAAAGGACCAGUCACACUACUGCAA
This 1995-nucleotide long non-coding RNA is filed under the name Ananas comosus (pineapple). RNAcentral describes it as "long non-coding RNA (ACOM_LNC039489)". The record is from RNAcentral. Lineage: Eukaryota; Viridiplantae; Streptophyta; Magnoliopsida; Poales; Bromeliaceae.